Molecule: ribosomal RNA, 3028 nt
Filed under: Salmonella enterica subsp. enterica serovar Uganda
Lineage: Bacteria; Pseudomonadati; Pseudomonadota; Gammaproteobacteria; Enterobacterales; Enterobacteriaceae
Description: 23S ribosomal RNA
Rfam family: Bacterial large subunit ribosomal RNA
Source: RNAcentral
GGGUUGUGAGGUUAAGCGACUAAGCGUACACGGUGGAUGCCCUGGCAGUCAGAGGCGAUGAAGGGCGUGCUAAUCUGCGAUAAGCGCCGGUAAGGUGAUAUGAACCGUUAUAACCGGCGAUACCCGAAUGGGGAAACCCAGUGUGACUCGUCACACUAUCAUUAACUGAAUCCAUAGGUUAAUGAGGCGAACCGGGGGAACUGAAACAUCUAAGUACCCCGAGGAAAAGAAAUCAACCGAGAUUCCCCCAGUAGCGGCGAGCGAACGGGGAGGAGCCCAGAGCCUGAAUCAGCAUGUGUGUUAGUGGAAGCGUCUGGAAAGGCGCGCGAUACAGGGUGACAGCCCCGUACACAAAAGCGCAUGUGCUGUGAGCUCGAUGAGUAGGGCGGGACACGUGGUAUCCUGUCUGAAUAUGGGGGGACCAUCCUCCAAGGCUAAAUACUCCUGACUGACCGAUAGUGAACCAGUACCGUGAGGGAAAGGCGAAAAGAACCCCGGCGAGGGGAGUGAAAAAGAACCUGAAACCGUGUACGUACAAGCAGUGGGAGCCCCACCACUAAGCCAGUGGUGAACUCCACAUACGCAUCCUUUGCUGAGGAUACGGUUAACGGAGCGAAAGCGACGUUCAACCGCAAAAGAAGCAGAGGGGGCUUAGUGGUGGGGUGACUGCGUACCUUUUGUAUAAUGGGUCAGCGACUUAUAUUCUGUAGCAAGGUUAACCGAAUAGGGGAGCCGUAGGGAAACCGAGUCUUAACCGGGCGUUAAGUUGCAGGGUAUAGACCCGAAACCCGGUGAUCUAGCCAUGGGCAGGUUGAAGGUUGGGUAACACUAACUGGAGGACCGAACCGACUAAUGUUGAAAAAUUAGCGGAUGACCUGUGGCUGGGGGUGAAAGGCCAAUCAAACCGGGAGAUAGCUGGUUCUCCCCGAAAGCUAUUUAGGUAGCGCCUCGUGAAUUCAUCUCCGGGGGUAGAGCACUGUUUCGGCUAGGGGGCCAUCCCGGCUUACCAACCCGAUGCAAACUGCGAAUACCGGAGAAUGUUAUCACGGGAGACACACGGCGGGUGCUAACGUCCGUCGUGAAGAGGGAAACAACCCAGACCGCCAGCUAAGGUCCCAAAGUCAUGGUUAAGUGGGAAACGAUGUGGGAAGGCCCAGACAGCCAGGAUGUUGGCUUAGAAGCAGCCAUCAUUUAAAGAAAGCGUAAUAGCUCACUGGUCGAGUCGGCCUGCGCGGAAGAUGUAACGGGGCUAAACCAUGCACCGAAGCUGCGGCAGCGACACUCAGGUGUUGUUGGGUAGGGGAGCGUUCUGUAAGCCUGUGAAGGUGGCCUGUGAGGGUUGCUGGAGGUAUCAGAAGUGCGAAUGCUGACAUAAGUAACGAUAAAGCGGGUGAAAAGCCCGCUCGCCGGAAGACCAAGGGUUCCUGUCCAACGUUAAUCGGGGCAGGGUGAGUCGACCCCUAAGGCGAGGCCGAAAGGCGUAGUCGAUGGGAAACAGGUUAAUAUUCCUGUACUUGGUGUUACUGCGAAGGGGGGACGGAGAAGGCUAUGUUGGCCGGGCGACGGUUGUCCCGGUUUAAGCGUGUAGGUGUGUGUUCCAGGUAAAUCCGGUUCACUUUAACACUGAGGCGUGACGACGAGGCACUACGGUGCUGAAGCAACAAAUGCCCUGCUUCCAGGAAAAGCCUCUAAGCAUCAGGUAACAUCAAAUCGUACCCCAAACCGACACAGGUGGUCAGGUAGAGAAUACCAAGGCGCUUGAGAGAACUCGGGUGAAGGAACUAGGCAAAAUGGUGCCGUAACUUCGGGAGAAGGCACGCUGACACGUAGGUGAAGUGAUUUACUCAUGGAGCUGAAGUCAGUCGAAGAUACCAGCUGGCUGCAACUGUUUAUUAAAAACACAGCACUGUGCAAACACGAAAGUGGACGUAUACGGUGUGACGCCUGCCCGGUGCCGGAAGGUUAAUUGAUGGGGUCAGCGCAAGCGAAGCUCCUGAUCGAAGCCCCGGUAAACGGCGGCCGUAACUAUAACGGUCCUAAGGUAGCGAAAUUCCUUGUCGGGUAAGUUCCGACCUGCACGAAUGGCGUAAUGAUGGCCAGGCUGUCUCCACCCGAGACUCAGUGAAAUUGAACUCGCUGUGAAGAUGCAGUGUACCCGCGGCAAGACGGAAAGACCCCGUGAACCUUUACUAUAGCUUGACACUGAACAUUGAGCCUUGAUGUGUAGGAUAGGUGGGAGGCUUUGAAGCGUGGACGCCAGUCUGCGUGGAGCCGACCUUGAAAUACCACCCUUUAAUGUUUGAUGUUCUAACGUGGACCCGUAAUCCGGGUUGCGGACAGUGUCUGGUGGGUAGUUUGACUGGGGCGGUCUCCUCCUAAAGAGUAACGGAGGAGCACGAAGGUUGGCUAAUCCUGGUCGGACAUCAGGAGGUUAGUGCAAUGGCAUAAGCCAGCUUGACUGCGAGCGUGACGGCGCGAGCAGGUGCGAAAGCAGGUCAUAGUGAUCCGGUGGUUCUGAAUGGAAGGGCCAUCGCUCAACGGAUAAAAGGUACUCCGGGGAUAACAGGCUGAUACCGCCCAAGAGUUCAUAUCGACGGCGGUGUUUGGCACCUCGAUGUCGGCUCAUCACAUCCUGGGGCUGAAGUAGGUCCCAAGGGUAUGGCUGUUCGCCAUUUAAAGUGGUACGCGAGCUGGGUUUAGAACGUCGUGAGACAGUUCGGUCCCUAUCUGCCGUGGGCGCUGGAGAACUGAGGGGGGCUGCUCCUAGUACGAGAGGACCGGAGUGGACGCAUCACUGGUGUUCGGGUUGUCAUGCCAAUGGCACUGCCCGGUAGCUAAAUGCGGAAGAGAUAAGUGCUGAAAGCAUCUAAGCACGAAACUUGCCCCGAGAUGAGUUCUCCCUGAGACUUUAGGUCUCCUGAAGGAACGUUGAAGACGACGACGUUGAUAGGCCGGGUGUGUAAGCGCAGCGAUGCGUUGAGCUAACCGGUACUAAUGAACCGUGAGGCUUAACCUUACAACGCCGAAG